Molecule: ribosomal RNA, 445 nt
Filed under: uncultured bacterium
Lineage: Bacteria
Description: partial 16S ribosomal RNA
Rfam family: Bacterial small subunit ribosomal RNA
Source: RNAcentral
GUAGGGAAUAUUGGGCAAUGGAGGCAACUCUGACCCAGCCAUGCCGCGUGCAGGAUGACGGCCCUCUGGGUUGUAAACUGCUUUUAUACGGGAAGAAAAAAUACUACGUGUAGUAUACUGACGGUACCGUAAGAAUAAGGAUCGGCUAACUCCGUGCCAGCAGCCGCGGUAAUACGGAGGAUCCAAGCGUUGUCCGGAUUUAUUGGGUUUAAAGGGUGCGUAGGCGGAUCUUUAAGUCAGUGGUGAAAGCCUGCAGCUUAACUGUAGAAUUGCCAUUGAAACUGAAGAGCUUGAAUGUGGGUAAAGUAGGCGGAAUGUAUCAUGUAGCGGUGAAAUGCUUAGAUAUGAUACAGAACACCGAUAGCGAAGGCAGCUUGCUGAACCAUUAUUGACGCUGAGGCACGAAAGCGUGGGGAGCGAACAGGAUUAGAAACCCUGGUAGUCC